UACAGGGGGUGCAAACGUUGCUCGGAAUCAUUGGGCGUAAAGCGCACGUAGGCGGUUUGUUAUGUCGGAUGUGAAAGCCCUUGUCUCAACUGAGGAAGUGCAUCCGAAACUGGCAAGCUAGAGUACUAAAGAGGGUCGCGGAAUUCCCGGUGUAGAGGUGAAAUUCGUAGAUAUCGGGAGGAACACCGGUGGCGAAGGCGGCGACCUGGGUAGAUACUGACGCUGAGGUGCGAAAGCGUGGGGAGCAAACAGG
This 253-nucleotide ribosomal RNA is filed under the name uncultured bacterium. Its description in RNAcentral is "partial 16S ribosomal RNA". It matches the Rfam family "Bacterial small subunit ribosomal RNA", at positions 524 to 776 of the family's 1533-position model. The record is from RNAcentral.